Molecule: ribosomal RNA, 397 nt
Filed under: uncultured bacterium
Lineage: Bacteria
Description: partial 16S ribosomal RNA
Rfam family: Bacterial small subunit ribosomal RNA
Source: RNAcentral
AUACGUAGGUGGCAAGCGUUGUCCGGAUUUAUUGGGCGUAAAGCGAGCGCAGGCGGUUUCUUAAGUCUGAUGUGAAAGCCCCCGGCUCAACCGGGGAGGGUCAUUGGAAACUGGGAGACUUGAGUGCAGAAGAGGAGAGUGGACUUCCAUGUGUAGUGGUGAAAUGCGUAGAUAUAUGGAGGAACACCAGUGGCGAAGGCGACUCUCUGGUCUGUAACUGACGCUGAGGCUCGAAAGCGUGGGGAGCAAACAGGAUUAGAUACCCUGGUAGUCCACGCCGUAAACGAUGAGUGCUAAGUGUUGGAGGGUUUCCGCCCUUCAGUGCUGCAGCUAACGCAUUAAGCACUCCGCCUGGGGAGUACGACCGCAAGGUUGAAACUCAAAUGAAUGGGCGGGG